Molecule: long non-coding RNA, 985 nt
Filed under: Rattus norvegicus (Norway rat)
Lineage: Eukaryota; Metazoa; Chordata; Mammalia; Rodentia; Muridae
Description: long non-coding RNA NONRATT031789
Source: RNAcentral
GGUAGAGGAAAUGGUAGUGACAAAGGUGGGAAUAUAAUGGUGGUGACAGUAGAUGCUGUCAUAGUGGAGGUGGUGGUGACAGCAGUUGGUGGUGUGGUGGUGACAGUUGAUGGUGUGGUGGUGACAGUUGAUGGUGUGCUGUGGUGACAGUUGGUGGUGUGGUGGUGACAGUUGAUGGUGUGGUGGUGACAGUUGAUGGUGUGCUGUGGUGACAGUUGAUGGUGUGGUGGUGAAGUUGAUGGUGUGGUGGUGACAGCAGUUGAUGGUGUGGUGGUGACAGCAGUUGAUGGUGUGGUGGUGACAGCAGUUGAUGGUGUGGUGGUGACAGUUGAUGGUGUGGUGGUGACAGUUGAUGGUGUGCUGUGGUGACAGUUGAUGGUGUGGUGGUGACAGUUGAUGGUGUGGUGGUCACAGCAGUUGGUGGUGUGGUGUGGUGGUGAGAGCUGGUGCUUUGCUGAUGGAUCUGAUGUUUAUGGCAAUCCUGAUGGUGAUGGUGGCCAUAGUGGUGGUGGUGAUGGUGAUAAUCAAGGACAUUUAACACUAGCAACAGCUCCUGCUCAAGGCAGAGCCGGCUACGCUGCGGACCCAGGGCUCUCCUCUCCUACUAGACUCCCUCACCUCUCAGGACACUGUGGAGCUCAAGACCAUACAAGGACCAUGGAGAAAGGGGAGGCGUCUUCGGGGCUGUCUGAGAGAAACCAGCCUUCCAGAUAGGGCACCACCCAAGCAAAGGAAUGGCAAGACCACACCACUGCAUGGUCAACGGGAGACGGCGCAGAACGUGCAAGGUACAGAGCCCAGUACUGCAGAAUGACAAUAAAUGCCUGCAUUGACGGCUAACACGUUUACGAUAGGACACUUUGUUACUUUAGUGUGCUCUUUGUGUCUGUGUUUUUAAAAGGCUUUACUGUAAAAGGCAGCAGAGAGAAGCUGUGGUAGUUCUCUGCCAUCUUGUGCUUUGUACCUCUCAGGGACACACAGUCUU